Long non-coding RNA from Ananas comosus (pineapple), 5501 nucleotides. RefSeq lists it as uncharacterized. The transcript is spliced from 2 exons. The record is from RefSeq and is a predicted model, not a curated record. NCBI's taxonomy places the organism in Eukaryota, Viridiplantae, Streptophyta, Magnoliopsida, Poales, Bromeliaceae.
GUAUAUUAAAAUAUGAUUCGAAUUAUAAAUUUAAUUUAUGAAUUCACAUUUGAAUUCAAAGUUCAAACUAAACGAAAGAAUUGAAUCCCGUAGAUUCAUACUCGCGGCCUCGAUCACUUCUAAUUAUUUUAAUCUUUUUAUUGAAUUGAUUUUCUACUACUUGCAGGAAAUCUUUAAAUUUGUCAAAAUUAUCACUUUUAGUUUUUAGUAAAUAAAUGUAAGUAUAUUUUGAAAAAUCAUCGAUAAAAAUGAUGUAAUAUCUAUUUUCUUCACGAGUUAGAGUACCUUCAAAUUCACAAAUAUUACUGUGAAUUAGCUUAAGUUAUUCGGUACUUCUUUAAAUACUCAUAUGAGGUCGUUUAGUGAUUUUUGACUUACUACAUGUUUCAGACUUUUCAAAAUUACUAUUCAAUCUAGGAAUUAAUCUUAAAUUACUCAUUACGCUAACAUGUCUGCUAUUAAUAUGACACAAAUGAGCAUACUAAAAAUUCACAGAAAAAAGCAUGUAAGUAGAAAUAGAAGAUGCUUUAUUCUCAAUGCUUAAUUUAAAUAUUCCAGUGCAUGCAUAACCUUUAUCCACAAACUUUUUAUUCUUGAAAAUCACAUACUGAUCAGACUUAUUCUGUUUGAAGCUAGCUUUGUUAAGAAAGAAAACUUGACAUCAAGUUCUUCCUAAUAGAAGGUGUGUACAAUACAUCUUUCAAGAUGAGUACCUUUUGGAAAGAAAACUUUAACUCGACCUCACCACUCCCUAAAACUUCAGAAGUAUGUGAAUCACCAAGCAUGAUAUUUCUUAGCUGUUCAUAUGGAGCAUAUAUUUUAAACCAAGUCUUAUUAUGAUAAACAUGCCUAUUGACACUAAAGUCUACUCACCAUCCUUCAACAUUACCAAACAUAUGUCUGUUAUCAUUGCUACAAGUGGCUCCUUAGUAACAUUAGCUUGAGAUAACAUUGGCUCAAAUAUGAAGUGCAUAGGUUAUAAAAAUUAAAAUUUUAUAUUUAAUAAUAAAAUAUUACAACACUUUUUGCUACUAAUGUACAUUCAUAUGUAUGCAAAAACUCUAAAUGGUACUAUAGAAACUGAUUUUGGCAAAAGUUCAAAUGAUGUUUGAUAAAGAUCAAGGUAACGUAGAUGCUUCAAGCCCCUAAUUGAUUUUGGUUGGUUUUUUAAUCUGCAUUCGUUAAGAUCCACCACCCUUAGUGUUUUAAGUUUGACGAAUGUGCUGCGGAGAAGAUCAUUAAUGUAUCCAUUAUUAGUCCUCGUAAAAACCAUCAACGUGUGGAGAUUUUUAAAAUUGCAUAUCUUCUCAAUAAGAUCACUCAGUCUAUUGAGGUGGAGGCAAAGAUGACGAAUCUCUUGAGGUACUGCCUUUGUUGGAUUUCCUUCAAUUCUAAGACAUCGAUCUUUAGAAACCAUCUCUGCUAGAUCAUGCAAAAGCUCAUGUAUAGUGUAAAGACAAUCGGAUUUUGCUAGCUAAAAGAAAGAGCAAGAAAGUAAAUCAUCAUAGUACUCUUGGCCUACAUCCUCAAUUCUCUUGCUUUUAUCUACUAUCGUGACGAAGGCCUCAGUGACCAACAGGCGAAUUAACUUGUCGUGCUUGAUUUUUUUUCUUAGAAAAUAUACUGCAUCAUGAGAAGCACCUCUACAAGUGUGCUUCUACGUUUUGAUAGCUCCAAAAAAGAGACUUCCUGGUGUCUUUUAAUAGGUUUUCACUUAAAAUCUUGUUCCAAAAGUUCACAUCUAGCCUUUUGCAAGCUGACUACCAACCAUUCUCACAGAUAAAGGGAGAGCUAUGUAGAUUCGGUGCGUUCUGCCUGAUAAUGUCUUCUAGUUUCUUGUAUAGCUUGUUAUCAUCAAUUUUGGCAUUACUAAAGGCAUAGUACGCAAACAAGGACAAGAAGUCAUUUUUUUUCUAGUUCCUUUAUGUGUAAAAUGCUUCUAGCGCCCAAGGCUUCCUCUACUCUCUUCUUGCGGGUCAUCAUUAAGAUCUUGCUUCCACUUUACCCACACUUAAAGGAGCAAGCAGCUGCUCCUACUGCACCUCGACCACUUCUUUCUCGUCUUAUACAUCGUCCAAUAUGAGUAAAAAAUUACUUGAUCUUAGGGAAUCUUUCAAGUACUUUUGAAGGGUGUCGAGAAUAGUCUUAAGUCAGGGUAUUCCUUUCUAGAUGUUAACUCCACCAUCUUUCUUGUCAAUUUUUUCGACAUUCAAACUCUUAAAUACAUGAACCUAUAUGAUGAUACCGAAAUGCUAGGCUUCUACUUCUCUUUCAUAAUCACAAACAUACUGUGCAAGAGUAGUCUUCCUAGUCUCUCCUAUACCAAUGAUGGCUACAACAAAAUAGCAUUUACCAAAUCUAGAUUCAGGUUCGAGCCUCGCCGUCUUAUAUAGCAUCUGGCAGGAUUGGCUUCAAUCGCGAUCGGCCUCCUCAAAAAGGGCUACUCCUACGUUGGCAUGGAUUUGGAUGAAAAGUUGUGGCAUCUGUAAAAUAUUAUCAUUCCCCAAGUGGAGAUACUGAUCGAGGCCGCAGGAAAUAGCCCGCACAAAGACAGCCUCCGUGGUUGACCCCAAGUGGAGAUGCUAAUCGAGGCCGCAGGAAAUAGCCCACACAGAGACAGCCUCCGUGGUUCGCUGCACAGCCUUGAGGAUGCAAUUUACGAAGUCGAGGACGUGCUGGACUUGCACGACUAUAAUCUUCUCAAACAAAAAGUGAAGAACAACGUAGAAGGAAUCGUAGUAUGUCUUGAAUCUCUUCCUAUAAUCAAAGACAUCAUCAAAAAAAUUGAGUAUUGCGCUACCACGUAUAAAGCUGAAAAAGAGCUUGAUGCAGCUAGAGAACAUUGCCACAAAAGCAAAGGAAUUCCAGCCGUUCUUACCUGUGGGAAUUAGUAAUGUAAGAACCUCUAAUGAAUCAUGUCGGAGCUCGCGCACAAAGUGUUUGGCUUAGACAAGAAGCGUGAUCAUAUCGUUGACCUUCUACAUGAGACGAUAAGGCUCGAACCUCAAUCUAACUUUGUUAAAUGCUAUUUUGUUGUAGCCAUCAUUAGCAUAGGUGGGGCUGGGAAGACUACUCUUGCAUAGCAUGUUUGUGAUUAUGAAAGAGAAGCAGAAGCUUAGCAUUUCGGCAUCAUCAUGUGGGUUCAUGUAUCUGAGAGUUUGGAUGUCGAAAACUUGACAAGAAAGAUGGUGGAGUUAGCAUCUAGAAAGGAAUGCUCUGAUUGACUAAUCUUGACACCCUUCAAAAAUAAUUGGAAGAUUCCCUAAGAUCAAAUAAGUUUUUACUCGUAUUGGACGAUGUAUGGAGCGAGAAAGUGGUGACCGAGGUGCAGUGGGAGUAGUUGCUCGCUUCUUUAAGCGUGGGUAAAAGUGGAAGCAAGAUCUUAAUGAUGACCCGCAAGAAGAGAGUAGCGGAGGCCUUAGGCGCUUGAAACAUUUUACAUCUAAAGGAACUAGAAAAAAAUGAAUUCUUGUCCUUGUUCGCAUACUAUGCCUUUGCUAAUGCCAAAAUUGAUGAUAACAAGUUAUACAAGGAACUGGAAGACAAUGUGAGGUAGAACAUGCCGAAUCUACAUGGCUCUCCCUUAGCUGAGAAAAUGGUUGGGUAGUCAGCUUGCAAAAGGCCAGAUGUGGACUUUUGGAACAAGAUUUUAAGUGGAGAGCUAUUGAAAAACACUAGAAAGUAUCUUUUUGGGAGCUAUCAGAACCUAGAAGCAUACUUGCGGAGGUGCUUUUCAUACUGUAGACUAUUUUCUAAGUCAAGAAAUCCGGCGCGACAAGUUAAUUUGCCCGUGGGUUGCUGAGAGCUUCAUCAAGACAGUGGAUGAGGGCAAGAGAAUUGAGAAUAUAGGCCAAGAGUACCUUGAUGAUUUGCUUUCCUGCUCUUUCUUUCAGUCAACAAAAUUUGAUAGUCUCUGUACUAGACAUGAUCUCUUGCAUGAUCUAGCAGAGAUGGUUUUUAAAUAUUGAUCUCUUAGAGUUGAAGAAAAUCCAACAAAGGUGGCACCUCAGGAGAUUUGUUAUCUUUGCCUCCACAUCAAUAGAUUGAGUGAUCUCGUUGGGAAGAUAUGCAAUUUCAAAAUCUCCUCAUGUUGAUAGUCUUUACGAGGACUAAUAAUGAUUACAUUAAUGAUCUUCUCCGCAGUAUAUUUGUCAAACUUAGAAAAAGGGUGGUGGAUCUUAACGGAUGUUGAUUAAAAUAACUAUUAGAAGCAAUUAGGGGCUUGAAGCAUAUACGCUAUCUUGAUCUAUGUCAGACAUCAUUUGAAAUAUUUCCAAAAUUAGUUUCUGCACUGUCAUUGGAGUUUCUGCAUAUGUAUAAAUGUACAUUAGUAGCAAAAAGUGUUAUAACAUUUUUUUAUUAAAUAUAAAAAAAUUAAUUUUUAUAACCUAUGCACUUCAUAUUUGAUAAUUCAUAACCUACAUCUCUUCGGUUUCUAGAACUCACAGCUUACGUUUUGUAAAACCUAAACUUUAAGCUUAGUACUAAAUGUCAUUUAAACUAUGGACUCUAGAACUUAAAAUUAAAACUUAAUAAGUUGUAACUUAUGGCUUUAAUAUGUUGUAUCCUAUAGGCUUGUGAACUCGAUAUAUAGUGAGCGUCUCUAUUCUUUGAACAUAUAACAAAAAAAAAUACAAUUUUACUUUCACUAUCUCUAUUCUACUUGAGAGAGAUGUCAAAGAAAGAUAUUCAUUUUGGUAGAGCUUUGGGUUAUCUACUUAUGCGAUUUGGUAAAGCUACAUGACGAGGGUCAAGCCAUUAUAUCCUGAAAGGGAUAAGCCAGUGUUCUGUUGCAUCGAUUCGAGGGCUUUGCCAACCGCAAAGGGCUUGAAUCUUCUUAAAGAGAGUGGGAUUUUUGUGUCUCGGGUCGAUCAACUCGUCGACACUUUUUAUAAUUUUCUUUUGUAACCGAACCUCUAUUUUUGUGUAUUUACACCAACGCUUUUAAGAAGAUUCAAUAGAUGGAGGCUACACAGAAAAAGUUCAACGAUACUAUCGAAAUCUCGCCAAUCCCUUCCACUUCAAAGGAAGCCACUUCAAGAGGUCGAAAGAAAAAGUGUUAAUUCUAUCUCAAUCUACUCAAAGUUAUAUCCUUCCUUAUGGAGAAAAAUCCAAAGAAGACUAACACUGACAGACAAUAUGACGGAGGAUGAACUUCUUGGAUACUACGACAAAACUGAAAAAUAUGAAAAGGAUGAAUGCAAUUGUCGGUCGAGCUCUUCCUUUAGGUGGCUGUACCUACUGGGAACUAUGUUAUAGUUCUCACCUCCAUGUUUUACAGCUCCUUCCGCAAUAGAUGCGGCGGAGCAUGGAAAGGGCGUGGCACAGUAGAUAGAGGUCCCACCGUCACCUAGUAGAAAGCGCCAUUUUGGAAAUGUAAAGAAAAAGAUAAAUGUAAAGCAUAUUUUGGAUUGUAUGCUGUAAUGAAAUAUAAACAAUGAAUGAAAAGAAUAAUGUAAUAAUUACUUUUGCUUAUAUUAGUUGAUAUCUUCCUGAUAUAA